RNAcentral lists this ribosomal RNA (678 nucleotides) under uncultured euryarchaeote. RNAcentral's name for it is "bacterial SSU rRNA". It matches the Rfam family "Archaeal small subunit ribosomal RNA", at positions 321 to 1000 of the family's 1478-position model. Lineage: Archaea; Methanobacteriati; Methanobacteriota. The record is from RNAcentral.
CCCUAUGGGGUGCAGCAGGCGCGGAACCUUUACAAUGCACGAAAGUGUGAUAAGGGGAUUCUACGUGCUCAUGCAAUGCAUGGGCUUUUGCCAAGAGUAAAUAUCUUGGAGAAUAAGUGGUGGGUAAGACUGGUGCCAGCCGCCGCGGUAACACCAGCGCCACAAGUGGCAGUCACGAUUAUUGGGCCUAAAGCGUCCGUAGCUGGAUGAGUACAUCCCUUGUGAAAUCGCCGAGCUUAACUCGACGACGUGCUUGGGACACGGCUCAUCUUGGGAGCGGGAGGAGUCUGAGGUAUUCGAGGGGGACCGGUAAAAUGGUAUAAUCCCUCGAGGACCACCGAUGGCGAAGGCAUCAGACCAGAACGCGUCCGACAGUGAGGGACGAAAGCCAGGGGAGCGAACCGGAUUAGAUACCCGAGUAGUCCUGGCCGUAAACGCUGCGAGCUAGGCGUUGCAUUACCUAUGCGGUUCUGCAGUGUCGAAGCGAAGGCGAUAAGCUCGCCGCCUGGGGAGUACGGUCGCAAGGCUGAAACUUAAAGGAAUUGGCGGGGGCGCACCACAAGGGGUGCGGCGUGCGGUUUAAUCGAAUUUAACACCGAGAAUCUCACUAGGGGCGACGGCAAGAUGAUGGUCAGUCUGAAGGGCUUACCGGAUGAGCCGAGAGGUAGUGCAUGGCCC